UUAGGUUCGGAGUCACUAGAGACUUUGAGCUCAUAACGGAUCAUGGCUUUGGACCUUGAUUUAUUCGCCUUCAAUGAGCUCGCGUUAGAUUAGAUAGUCGGUGGGGCUAGGCCUACCAAGUCGACGAUUUAUAGCUGGCUGAGAGGUGAUUAGCCACACUGGGACUGAGACACGGCCCAGACUUCCACGGGAGGCAGCAGUGGGGGAAUAUCCGGACAUUGGGGCGAUAGCCUGAACCCAGCAAUCGCCGCGUGAGUGAUGAUGGCCUUAGGGUUCGUAAAGCUUCCCCCACUAAGGGGAUGAAUAAACGACCAGUACCCUUAGAGAAAUAAAGCUUCCCGGCUCAAACUUCCCGUCGCCCAGCCAGCCCGCGGUAAAUCAACGGAAGGGAGCUAAGCGUUCGUUUCGGAAAUCUCAACUCGGGGCGUAAAAGCGCGCGUAAGGCGGCUCUCUCUUCAAGUUCAGGGGUUGAAAAUUCCCCGGAAGCUUCAAACUUCCCGGAAACUCGCCCCUCUCGAAAACUCGGAUUGGCUUAGAA
This 538-nucleotide ribosomal RNA is filed under the name uncultured bacterium. Its description in RNAcentral is "partial 16S ribosomal RNA". The stretch from base 1 to 401 matches the Rfam family "Bacterial small subunit ribosomal RNA", at positions 173 to 542 of the family's 1533-position model. The record is from RNAcentral.